GCGCUACCUGCAGUCGAGCGGAUGAGGGAGCUUGCUCCCUGAUUUAGCGGCGGACGGGUGAGUAAUGCCUAGGAAUCUGCCUGGUAGUGGGGGAUAACGUUCCGAAAGGAACGCUAAUACCGCAUACGUCCUACGGGAGAAAGCAGGGGACCUUCGGGCCUUGCGCUAUCAGAUGAGCCUAGGUCGGAUUAGCUAGUUGGUGAGGUAAUGGCUCACCAAGGCGACGAUCCGUAACUGGUCUGAGAGGAUGAUCAGUCACACUGGAACUGAGACACGGUCCAGACUCCUACGGGAGGCAGCAGUGGGGAAUAUUGGACAAUGGGCGAAAGCCUGAUCCAGCCAUGCCGCGUGUGUGAAGAAGGUCUUCGGAUUGUAAAGCACUUUAAGUUGGGAGGAAGGGCAUUAACCUAAUACGUUAGUGUUUUGACGUUACCAACAGAAUAAGCACCGGCUAACUUCGUGCCAGCAGCCGCGGUAAUACGAAGGGUGCAAGCGUUAAUCGGAAUUACUGGGCGUAAAGCGCGCGUAGGUGGUUCGUUAAGUUGGAUGUGAAAGCCCCGGGCUCAACCUGGGAACUGCAUCCAAAACUGGCGAGCUAGAGUACGGUAGAGGGUGGUGGAAUUUCCUGUGUAGCGGUGAAAUGCGUAGAUAUAGGAAGGAACACCAGUGGCGAAGCGACCACCUGGACUGAUACUGACACUGAGGUGCGAAAGCGUGGGGAGCAAACAGGAUUAGAUACCCUGGUAGUCCACGCCGUAAACGAUGUCAACUAGCCGUUGGAAUCCUUGAGAUUUUAGUGGCGCACUAACGCAUUAAGUU
RNAcentral lists this ribosomal RNA (819 nucleotides) under Ectopseudomonas mendocina. RNAcentral's name for it is "bacterial SSU rRNA". It matches the Rfam family "Bacterial small subunit ribosomal RNA", at positions 46 to 866 of the family's 1533-position model. Lineage: Bacteria; Pseudomonadati; Pseudomonadota; Gammaproteobacteria; Pseudomonadales; Pseudomonadaceae. The record is from RNAcentral.